Non-coding RNA from Schistosoma mansoni, 48 nucleotides. Lineage: Eukaryota; Metazoa; Platyhelminthes; Trematoda; Strigeidida; Schistosomatidae. The record is from Rfam.
GCACUGCUGAGGAGUCCCACAUAAUAGGACGAAACGGCCGUCCAGUGC